Molecule: ribosomal RNA, 497 nt
Filed under: uncultured bacterium
Lineage: Bacteria
Description: partial 16S ribosomal RNA
Rfam family: Bacterial small subunit ribosomal RNA
Source: RNAcentral
ACUCAAAGGAAUUGACGGGGGCCCGCACAAGCGGUGGAGCAUGUGGAUUAAUUCGAUGCAACGCGAGGAACCUUACCUGGACUUGACAUCCUGGGACAGCCGUAGAAAUACGGUCUUCCCUUCGGGGACCCGGAGACAGGUGGUGCAUGGCUGUCGUCAGCUCGUGUCGUGAGAUGUUGGGUUAAGUCCCGCAACGAGCGCAACCCUUGCCGUUAGUUGCCAGCAUUUAGUUGGGGACUCUAACGGGACUGUCGGUAACAAGCCGAAGGAAGGUGGGGAUGACGUCAAGUCAGCAUGCCCCUUAUGUCCAGGGCUUCACACGUGCUACAAUGGCCGGUUACAAAGAGAAGCGAAACUGCAAAGUCAAGCCAAUCUCCAAAGCCGGUCUCAGUUCAGAUUGAGGGUUGCAACUCACCCUCAUGAAGGCGGAAUCGCUAGUAAUCGUGAAUCAGCAUGUCACGGUGAAUACGUUCCCGGGCCUUGCACACACCGCCCGU